Molecule: ribosomal RNA, 468 nt
Filed under: Actinomyces naeslundii
Lineage: Bacteria; Bacillati; Actinomycetota; Actinomycetes; Actinomycetales; Actinomycetaceae
Description: bacterial SSU rRNA
Rfam family: Bacterial small subunit ribosomal RNA
Source: RNAcentral
GACGAACGCUGGCGGCGUGCUUAACACAUGCAAGUCGAACGGUGAAGGGGCCUGCUUUUGUGGGUCCUGGAUGAGUGGCGAACGGGUGAGUAACACGUGAGUAACCUGCCCCCUUCUUCUGGAUAACCGCAUGAAAGUGUGGCUAAUACGGGAUAUUCUGGGUCUGUCGCAUGGUGGGCCUGGGAAAGAUUGCGCUUUUUUUGGUGUUUUUGGUGGGGGAUGGGCUCGCGGCCUAUCAGCUUGUUGGUGGGGUGAUGGCCUACCAAGGCGGUGACGGGUAGCCGGCCUGAGAGGGUGGACGGUCACACUGGGACUGAGACACGGCCCAGACUCCUACGGGAGGCAGCAGUGGGGAAUAUUGCACAAUGGGCGCAAGCCUGAUGCAGCGACGCCGCGUGAGGGAUGGAGGCCUUCGGGUUGUGAACCUCUUUCGCCAGUGAAGCAGGCCUGCCUCGUUUGUGGGUGGGU